CCCUUAGUUAUCCUAGGCCGCACGCGUGUUACAAUGACUUUUUCAGCAAGUUCUCCUGGCCCGAGGGGGUGCGGGUAAUCUGAAAUCAAAGUCGUGUUAGGGAUAGAUCUUUGCAAUUAUAGAUCUUGAACGAGGAUUUUGUAGUAAGUGCGCGUCAUCACCGCGUACUGACUGCGUCCCCGCUGUUUGUACACACCGCCCGUCGCUUCUACCGAUUGAAUGUUCCGGUGAGUAAUUUGGACCCGGGGGGGCUUGCUCCUCUGGGGAAGUUUCGCAAACCUAUGCAUUUAGAGGAAGAAGAAGUCGUAACA
Molecule: ribosomal RNA, 311 nt
Filed under: uncultured eukaryote
Lineage: Eukaryota
Description: partial 18S ribosomal RNA
Rfam family: Eukaryotic small subunit ribosomal RNA
Source: RNAcentral